This 1583-nucleotide long non-coding RNA is filed under the name Pelobates cultripes (western spadefoot toad). Lineage: Eukaryota; Metazoa; Chordata; Amphibia; Anura; Pelobatidae. The record is from RNAcentral.
CAAAGAAUGACUUUAAGAAAGCCUGGAGGAAGUACCCCUAUGAAAUUAAUGUUAAAUAUUGAACAUCCUGGCCCCGAGGAUGCAGACCGAUAUGUAAUGGGAAUGUAUUGGAAGAAAGGUUCCUACAACAAAUUAGGUCAUUUCUACCUCAGAGAUAUGUCCCACUCUCCAGAGUGGCAAGGGGCUGAUCAUAUGGUCCCAAAUCCGCUAAAACCACAUAUCCAGUCCUUUAAAGAUAUGAUGGCCAUCGCUAACCCCACUUUUGAAGAUACCAUGGCCGCUGAAACUGGAUUCAAUGACAUUAGUUUGUGGUUAGAAUGGAUGAGGUAUAAUGCCAACAAACAUAAUAAAACAGCAUGUUAUGUAUGUGGCGGUGCCCGACCCCACCUUGGCACCGUCCCCCUAAUUCUCCCUUUAGAGAUAGAAGAUUGCUUCUUAAGCCUUUUUGCCUACCAAUAUGACUUUAAUAGGUCCCUCUGCAUGGCAUGGACGGCAGAAUACCCUCUCUUAGUUGAAAAUGUUAAGCCACCAGAUGGAAUCACAGUCUAUAGAGGUAAUUACACUUGUUAUGCCAUGUAUGACGGGAUUGGUAAAUUCAUGGGUAAUUUUUCUAAAGGUUAUUGCGCCACUUACAGACCUGUUCCUAUACGCCUGUUGCAACACCAUACCAGGUCAUUGGGGGAUAUUUACUGGUUAUGUGGGGAUCUACAGUUAAGAUCUAGGCUGGAAACUGAGUGGUGGGGUGAGUGUACCCUGGCCAAAGUUAUCAUGCCCAUUCAUAUUAUUUCUGAUAAUCAUCAUGACACAUACGACCCUCCACAUACACCAGCCAGAGUAAGGUGCGAAACCCCAGUAAAAGGCAGUUUUGACCCCCACAUUUACAUAGAUGCCAUUGGGGUGCCUAGGGGGGUGCCUAAUGAAUUUAAAGCUAGAGAUGAAGUAGCUGCAGGUUUUGAAUCACUUUUUACCAUAGUCACUGCCAACAAAAACCUUAAUUGGAUUAAUUAUAUCUAUUACAACCAACAGCGCUUCGUGAACUACACCAGGGAUGCCCUCCAGGGCUUGGCCGAGCAAUUACAGGCCACAUCCCAAAUGACCUUCCAGAACAGACUGGCCUUAGACAUGAUCUUAGCCGAAAAAGGGGGAGUCUGUAAAAUACUUCCCGACACUAUGACUUGUUGCACUUAUAUCCCAGAAAACACAGGUCCUAAUGGUAAAGUCACUCUGGCCAUAGCUAAAUUAAAUAGACUCUCAGAAGAGUUAAAGAGAAACUCUGGAGUUACUGAUCCCUGGGAAAAAUGGUUUGGUUGGAUGACUGGUUGGCAGAGAGCUUUAGUCCAGAUUGGUAUUGCCUUACUAAUUUUUCUUUUUUAUUCUCGCUCUUCUCAUUUGUUGUGUCCUCCCAUGCCUAAGGAAAUUCCUGCAGAAAACUGUAGACCAAGCAACACCAACCUUCACUCAUCUGACAAUCGAUGAUCAAGACCUCAUCAGUCUAGGAAGGGACAGUACAGGGACAGCGUCCGUCUUUAUGGGUAGACUGCCGUACGGAGAAGUAGUGGAUAAGCCACUAUGGGUUACCAGCG